GACGAACGCUGGCGGCGUGCCUAAUACAUGCAAGUAGAACGCUGAAGGAGGAGCUUGCUUCUCCGGGUGAGUUGCGAACGGGUGAGUAACGCGUAGGUAACCUGCCUGGUAGCGGGGGAUAACUAUUGGAAACGAUAGCUAAUACCGCAUAAGAGUAGAUGUUGCAUGACAUUUGCUUAAAAGGUGCAAUUGCAUCACUACCAGAUGGACCUGCGUUGUAUUAGCUAGUUGGUGGGGUAACGGCUCACCAAGGCGACGAUACAUAGCCGACCUGAGAGGGUGAUCGGCCACACUGGGACUGAGACACGGCCCARACUCCUVCGGGAGGCAGCAGUAGGGAAUCUUCGGCAAUGGACGGAAGUCUGACCGAGCAACGCCGCGUGAGUGAAGAAGGUUUUCGGAUCGUAAAGCUCUGUUGUAAGAGAAGAACGAGUGUGAGAGUGGAAAGUUCACACUGUGACGGUAUCUUACCAGAAAGGGACGGCUAACUACGUGC
This 496-nucleotide ribosomal RNA is filed under the name uncultured Streptococcus sp. Its description in RNAcentral is "bacterial SSU rRNA". It matches the Rfam family "Bacterial small subunit ribosomal RNA", at positions 28 to 508 of the family's 1533-position model. Lineage: Bacteria; Bacillati; Bacillota; Bacilli; Lactobacillales; Streptococcaceae. The record is from RNAcentral.